GAGCACGUAGGUGGGUUUGUAAGUCAGAGGUGAAAGCCUGGAGCUCAACUCCAGAACUGCCUUUGAGACUGCAUCGCUUGAAUCCAGGAGAGGUGAGUGGAAUUCCGAGUGUAGAGGUGAAAUUCGUAGAUAUUCGGAAGAACACCAGUGGCGAAGGCGGCUCACUGGACUGGUAUUGACGCUGUGGUGCGAAAGCGUGGGGAGCAAACAGGAUUAGAUACCCUGGUAGUCCACGCCGUAAACGAUGAUAACUAGCUGUCCGGGCACUAAGUAGAGGGG
RNAcentral lists this ribosomal RNA (279 nucleotides) under uncultured bacterium. RNAcentral's name for it is "partial 16S ribosomal RNA". It matches the Rfam family "Bacterial small subunit ribosomal RNA", at positions 565 to 843 of the family's 1533-position model. The record is from RNAcentral.